GUGGUUGGCUACUGAGGUACAAGCAAGAGACCUCAGAUUAGGAUGGUGGUAGCAGAUAUUGUGUAGAAAGGACAGAUGUUAGAGCCAUUUUUAGGGAACAUUGAAGAACUGGAAUAAUGGACAUGAAUGGAGAAGAUAGGCAUCCAUAUUGGACCAGCCCCUGUCCACAGUAUUGAAGAUAUCCUUAUGUGCAUAGACCUUGCUGGUUCAGUGGCAGUGGCUAGAUCAUGAGUGAGCAUCUCUUUUAGAGCAAGUCUACACAGAGGGAGUGGUUUGUAUGUCAAUAACUCUCCAGAUUGUGUUGCAAACACCAUCUUCAACUCAGCCAUUUUUCUCUUGGUUUUGAAAAAACCAGAGAAU
This 360-nucleotide long non-coding RNA is filed under the name Pan troglodytes (chimpanzee). Its description in RNAcentral is "long non-coding RNA NONPTRT014743". Lineage: Eukaryota; Metazoa; Chordata; Mammalia; Primates; Hominidae. The record is from RNAcentral.